Molecule: long non-coding RNA, 388 nt
Organism: Anolis sagrei ordinatus
Lineage: Eukaryota; Metazoa; Chordata; Lepidosauria; Squamata; Anolidae
Source: RefSeq, a predicted model, not a curated record
GGCAUGCCAAAACAAAUUUGCCUAAAGCUUCUACAACAGUCAAAUUCCUCUUUCUGUCUCAGAUUGUCAGAGCUGGCUGUAUGUUCAGCAUGAUGUCUCCACUUGACAUACAAAAUGGAGUUCAAGACUGUGCUCCCUGAGGACUCAGAUAUCACGGUACAAGGAAGGGAACAACCAGAAUAGGAUCUCAGGCUGUCACAUGAAGAGCACAUUUUAUAAAGAAGUAUUUAGCACCUCCAGAUGACCUCCAUACAGAAAUGCAUCAUGCUAUUCAAAUUCUGCCUGUCAACUGCUAUGAAAAACAUGUCAAUAAAACUUGUUCAAGCAGAACCUUACCUGGUUUUCACCACAUCGAGGGGGUGCAUCAAGCAAAUUUCUACAAGACCUG